RNAcentral lists this ribosomal RNA (253 nucleotides) under uncultured bacterium. RNAcentral's name for it is "partial 16S ribosomal RNA". It matches the Rfam family "Bacterial small subunit ribosomal RNA", at positions 524 to 776 of the family's 1533-position model. The record is from RNAcentral.
UACGGAGGGAGCAAGCGUUACUCGGAAUUACUGGGCGUAAAGGGCUCGUAGGCGGCCAACUAAGUCGGACGUGAAAUCCCUCAGCUUAACUGGGGAACUGCGUCCGAUACUGGAUGGCUUGGAUUUGGGAGAGGGAUGCGGAAUUCCAGGUGUAGCGGUGAAAUGCGUAGAUAUCUGGAGGAACACCGGUGGCGAAGGCGGCAUCCUGGACCAAUAUUGACGCUGAGGAGCGAAAGCCAGGGGAGCAAACGGG